UGACACUUCUUAAUGAGUCGCCA
RNAcentral lists this non-coding RNA (23 nucleotides) under Arabidopsis thaliana (thale cress). The record is from RNAcentral. Lineage: Eukaryota; Viridiplantae; Streptophyta; Magnoliopsida; Brassicales; Brassicaceae.